AUUAUUGUAUAACAAGAGCCACUCGGGGCUGUCGCUGACCCUAGAGGUUGUGCACGCUUCGAGUGUUCUCAUUUACACAUCCAUCUCACCCUUUGUGCAUCACCGCGUGGGUCCCUUUUUGUCGAUCCAAAAGGUGGCUCACGUUUUUACACAUACGCUGUCAUUGUGAAUGUCUUGCUUUUGCGGUUAUAUGCAAUCAAUACAACUUUCAACAACGGAUCUCUUGGCUCUCGCAUCGAUGAAGAACGCAGCGAAAUGCGAUACGUAAUGUGAAUUGCAGAAUUCAGUGAAUCAUCGAAUCUUUGAACGCACCUUGCACCCCUUGGCAUUCCGAGGGGUACACCCGUUUGAGUGUCGUGAAAUUCUCAACCUUUCCAAUUUUCUUGAAAAGGUUUGGACUUUGGAGGCUUUUGCCGGUCUCUAUUUAUAGAGAGACCGGCUCCUCUUAAAUGAAUUAGUGGGGUUCUCUUUGCUGAUCCCUCGACGUGAUAAGAUUUCUCUACGUCCGAGGUGUUUGGCUCUAUAGACCUGCUUCUAAACAUAUCUCUCUACGUGAUUGAACCUUUUUGACCUCAAAUCGGGUGAGACUACCCGCUGAACUUAAGCAUAUCAAUAAGCGGAGGA
This 624-nucleotide ribosomal RNA is filed under the name Lactarius fuscomarginatus. RNAcentral's name for it is "eukaryotic LSU rRNA". The stretch from base 204 to 357 matches the Rfam family "5.8S ribosomal RNA". Lineage: Eukaryota; Fungi; Basidiomycota; Agaricomycetes; Russulales; Russulaceae. The record is from RNAcentral.